AUUGAACGCUGGCGGCAUGCUUUACACAUGCAAGUCGAACGGUAACAGGUUAAGCUGACGAGUGGCGAACGGGUGGGUAAUGCAUCGGAACGUGCCCGAUCGUGGGGGAUAACGCAGCGAAAGCUGCGCUAAUACCGCAUACGAUCUGAGGAUGAAAGCGGGGGACCGUAAGGUCUCGCGCGAUCGGAGCGGCCGAUGUCAGAUUAGGUAGUUGGUGGGGUAAAGGCCCACCAAGCCGACGAUCUGUAGCUGGUCUGAGAGGACGACCAGCCACACUGGGACUGAGACACGGCCCAGACUCCUACGGGAGGCAGAAGUGGGGAAUUUUGGACAAUGGGCGAAAGCCUGAUCCAGCAAUGCCGCGUGCAGGAAGAAGGCCUUCGGGUUGUAAACUGCUUUUGUACGGAGCGAAAAGGUCCUUUCUAAUACAAGGGGCUCAUGACGGUACCGUAAGAAUAGGCACCGGCUAACUACGUGCCAGCCGCCGCGGUAA
RNAcentral lists this ribosomal RNA (493 nucleotides) under uncultured bacterium. RNAcentral's name for it is "partial 16S ribosomal RNA". It matches the Rfam family "Bacterial small subunit ribosomal RNA", at positions 29 to 523 of the family's 1533-position model. The record is from RNAcentral.